Molecule: non-coding RNA, 368 nt
Organism: Heterocephalus glaber (naked mole-rat)
Lineage: Eukaryota; Metazoa; Chordata; Mammalia; Rodentia; Bathyergidae
Source: RefSeq, a predicted model, not a curated record
UUCGGAACCUUGCCUGAGCGAUUAUUUUGCUGAUGCAUCCAGCACUUUCCUCCUCUCACUUCCACUAUUAGUGAUGAAAACCAAAAGGCUCUGGAGACGAUAUUCUCAUCGAACAUUACUGUAGAGUGCAACUCAAAAGCAAGGACCGUGUCUGCCUCGUGUUCUAAAAAAUGCCCUCCAAGGAAGGAGAAGUGCUUGAGGGAGCUCCAAAGACAGGAUUCAACAAAGGUGCACAGAGAAGAUUCACCGGGGAGAGUUUGUAAAACUUGGAAGGGCAGCUGAGCAGUGAAUGGACCGAAUAGAUUUAUCCAUCUGCCAGGAGAGUGAAAUAAAUCUGUAGCCAGUAUAGGGAAAGGACUUAAAGGGAA